This 493-nucleotide ribosomal RNA is filed under the name uncultured bacterium. RNAcentral describes it as "partial 16S ribosomal RNA". It matches the Rfam family "Bacterial small subunit ribosomal RNA", at positions 29 to 507 of the family's 1533-position model. The record is from RNAcentral.
ACGAACGCUGGCGGCGUGCUUCACACAUGCAAGUCGAACGGUGAAGCGCCUUCCUUUUUGGUGGGUGUGGAUGAGUGGCGAACGGAUGAGUAACACGUGAGUAACCUGCCCCCUUCUUCUGGAUAACCGCAUGAAAGUGUGGCUAAUACGGGAUAUUCUGGGUCUGUCGCAUGAUGGGUCUGGGAAAGAUAUUGUUUCGGUGGGGGAUGGGCUCGCGGCCUAUCAGCUUGUUGGUGGGGUGAUGGCCUACCAAGGCGGUGACGGGUAGCCGGCCUGGGAGGGUGGACGGUCACACUGGGACUGAGACACGGCCCAGACUCCUACGGGAGGCAGCAGUGGGGAAUAUUGCACAAUGGGCGCAAGCCUGAUGCAGCGACGCCGCGUGAGGGAUGGAGGCCUUCGGGUUGUGAACCUCUUUCGCCAGUGAAGCAGGCCUGCCUCGUUUGUGGGUGGGUUGACGGUAGCUGGAUAAGAAGCGCCGGCUAACUACGUG